ACGCUCGACACCUACGGGAGGUAGCAGUGGGGAAUAUUGCACAAUGGGGGAAACCCUGAUGCAGCGACGCCGCGUGAGCGAAGAAGUAUUUUCGGUAUGUAAAGCUCUAUCAGCAGGGAAGAAAAUGACGGUACCUGACUAAGAAGCCCCGGCUAACUACGUGCCGNNCGCGUAGUNUNGCGGCGNGNGAGNG
This 193-nucleotide ribosomal RNA is filed under the name uncultured bacterium. RNAcentral describes it as "partial 16S ribosomal RNA". It matches the Rfam family "Bacterial small subunit ribosomal RNA", at positions 328 to 540 of the family's 1533-position model. The record is from RNAcentral.